This 600-nucleotide small RNA is filed under the name Pongo abelii (Sumatran orangutan). RNAcentral's name for it is "processed transcript". Lineage: Eukaryota; Metazoa; Chordata; Mammalia; Primates; Hominidae. The record is from RNAcentral.
AGGAGGCCAGAAGACGGCUGUCAAAGGGUCAGGAGCAGUCUGAUCAAAAGGAGGCCAUCCACUGUCCGGGGCCAUUCCCACAGCUCCCGGAUGCUGGGUCUGGAGGCUGCGCCCUUCCCCCACAGGAGCUCGGCCAGUGGUAAGUCAUCUGUGUGUCAUCUAUGUAUUUAACCCCUUAUGGCCAUGUUGAUGCUGAGCAUGGUUUCACUUUUGCAAACAUUUGUUUAUACCCUUCGAGAGAAAAACAUCUCAGCUGUCACAGGAAGCUGCUUCGGGGGGUGAGCAGACUUCUUAAACAUGCAGAAAUUAUGAUCUACACCCGUUUCUUAAAAGUAAGCCAUGGUACUUGGUUCUCUUUAAUUGUAUAUUUUCUUACGUAUUGUGUUCAUGUAGGCAAGUCCUGUUUCUGCUAAAAGAAGGUAAGUUCUACCAAGAUGGUGUCAUGCCAGCUUUAUUUCCCGUGGCACCUGGCACACUGCUAAGCACUUACAUGCUUAACAACUAGAUUGGGAAUGGUGCUGCUCUGGGGAAGUGGGCAAACAUUAAAGAAAUGUUUAUUUCAGUCUUCUGAAAUAGGGAAUUACUCUGGCUAAAAUGUAG